AUCACGGAAUGGAUGUGAUUAGGUUCACCGAGAAAAAUUUCUUAAGGGUGUAUCCUAAAGGCACUCGUUUUAACUCUUCCAACUACAAGCCACUAAUUGCUUGGAUGCAUGGAGCUCAAAUGGUUGCGUUCAAUAUGCAGGGAUAUGGUAGAGCUCUUUGGCUGAUGCAUGGAAUGUUUAGGGCCAAUGGAGGUUGUGGUUAUGUGAAGAAGCCUGAUUUUCUGAUGAAUGUGAAUGCACAUGGUGAAGCAUUCAAUCCUAAAGCCAAAUUGCCAGUAAAGAAAAAUUUAAAGGUGAAAGUGUAUAUGGGAGAUGGAUGGCAUUUGGAUUU
RNAcentral lists this unclassified non-coding RNA (331 nucleotides) under Hevea brasiliensis (rubber tree). Lineage: Eukaryota; Viridiplantae; Streptophyta; Magnoliopsida; Malpighiales; Euphorbiaceae. The record is from RNAcentral.